CUCUACGCGAGGUUUCUGUCCUCGCUGAGCUGGCCUUAGGACACCUGCGUUAUUCUUUGACAGAUGUACCGCCCCAGUCAAACUCCCCGCGUGGCAGUGUCUCA
Long non-coding RNA from Homalodisca vitripennis (glassy-winged sharpshooter), 104 nucleotides. RefSeq lists it as uncharacterized. The transcript has 3 exons. The record is from RefSeq and is a predicted model, not a curated record. NCBI's taxonomy places the organism in Eukaryota, Metazoa, Arthropoda, Insecta, Hemiptera, Cicadellidae.